RNAcentral lists this long non-coding RNA (603 nucleotides) under Rosa chinensis. The record is from RNAcentral. Lineage: Eukaryota; Viridiplantae; Streptophyta; Magnoliopsida; Rosales; Rosaceae.
UAGCCGUGAUGAACGCUUUUGUGCCAGAGGCGGGUGCUUCAAUAGGGCUCUGUCUGUGACGGCUACACAACCCUCUAAGAAGUUCUGAGCUUUUCUCUCCUUAUUGAUUUCUUGAUUGUUUCUUGUAGGGUUGGAAUUUGAUUUGGAAAGAAAGCGAAGUGACGAUAGAAAUUCAUGUCUGUCAAUCCCCUGACUUACUGCUUGAUGUUAACCUGAAUUGGCUGUGGUUCUGAUCGCUUUUCUUUCUCAUUUCCCAAAUCUCAACUGCACACUAAGCACAUGGAUCUGAACUGAACUGGGUUCAGUUCUGAAUUUUUGUUUUUUUUUUGUUGAAAAUGGGUUUUGUUUUUCGAAUCUGGGCAGCUGAUGAGUCUCAUGGUAUUAUGGGUAAUUUGCGUCUGAAUUCUCAUUGAUGUUUUACUUUCACCUUGGAGAACUGAUGCCCUUAAAGAUUUUUUACCUGAUUUUUUUUUCUUUCUCGGAGGUUUUUCUUUUAAUCAAUUUUUUGGAUUGAGGGAGUUUGAUGUUAUAUGAUGAAAAGAAUCAUUCGGAUUCCCAAUGAUAGCAUAUAUAUGAUAUCACAACCAGCUACUUCUGAUCACA